UUUACUAUGUUGGCUAGGCUGGUCUUGAACUCCUGACCUCCAGCGGUCCACUUGCCUUGGCCUCCCGAAGUGCGGGGAUUACAAUCGUGAGCCACUGUGCCCAGCUAAAAUGUAACUUUUGAGUACAAAUAGGAAUAGUAAAAACACCCUAGUUCCCUUAACUUUUGUUUUUUGGGCAUUUUUUUUUUUUUUUGACAUCUUGCUUUUAAAAGGAAAUGUUUAUUUUUAGAGAAAACAGCUAGCCAGGCCAAGUGGCCUGGAGGAACAAGAUCUUGGUAAAUGGCUUAUAUUAGGUUAAUGACUGUUAGAGGUGAAGUGACCUUUUUAUCAGUAUUGUUUGAGAAACUUCCUGGGACCCAAAAUAAUAAUUUUGGGAUUGGGAUUGGGCACUUUGAGGAAUGAGAUAGAAGGUGUUUUCUAACCCUGGAAAUGCAGUCACCUCUGACAUUUGGAACGUGGUUCCCAGGUCUGUCCUGUCACUUUGAGACCAGUGUGCAAACCCACUCAUUCUUCUGUCUUCUAACCUGCACUGGGAAGACCAGGAACCUACUAUUGUAUGUAGAUGUUAAACUGUCUUGCAAUGUUUGAAUGCAGCAAAACAUACUCUUGCAGCAGAAGAUCCACAUGCUGCUUACUCUGUCAUUAAAUCUCUUCCCUUUCGCUAGCCUCCUUUGGCUAAAAUGUUACUCUUUUAUUCAUCUUAGUAUGCUUUAUUGGAGGGAAGACUAAACUAUAAUAAACAGUAACCCUUUUCAAUAUAAUCUAUAUGAUAUCACUAUCCAUAUGAAUAUCCCAGUAGGUUUUUGAGAGGUAUUAUUCUUACUUUUUUAAGAUGAGGAAAAUGAGCCCUAAGGUUAAGUGACUCCGGUUAAGGUCUUAAAUGUCAAAUGUGUAUUAUCUUCAAAUUCUUUUUUUUUAGGCUCAAAAAUAAUAAUAGCUACAAAAUAUUGAGUGUAUACAAUUUUCCCAGAACUGUGCUAAUCACCUCAUUUAUGUUACAGUUUUCACAGUGGUCCUGCAAUAUUAUGAUGUCCUUUUUUUAGAUUAGGUGAACAAGGAUGAGAGAGGUUAAUGUGAUCAUUAUGCCUCUGUUUGAACCCAGAUCUCUUAUUACUCAAAUCCUGAGUUUUUCUAGUUUGUUUCUGCAUUUUCAGAGUCUACUCAUUCAAAAUUUAGCUUCAGAUACCAGCUCCUCUGUUAAAGCUUUUUUCCUCACUCCCAUUAGAAGCUGUGAGGGUGAAUGCAAGUUAGCAAGUGAUUUGUAGUAUUCUUACAAAGAUGAUACCCAGAUGACCUGGGGUUUAUCUUUUGCAUACUGGGCUCUCAAGUACUGUUACAAUCAUGGCCCAGUUUGUUUUAUACAUAAUGAUUUGUGUAUAUACGUAGAUGUUUUCUUUUCCCUUGUACAGAAGUUUGUUGAAGGUGGGGUUUCAGCUAAUUAUGUGCUUUAUAAACAGUAACUGCUAAAUACAUUGUACUGAAAGAAGUCAUAUGUCAGUAAAUAUUUUUUUUAAGCAUGGAUUCCUCUUUAUUUUUCCUUUUACAUCAGAAGUUGGUAUCCUUAGCUGUCCCCCAAGGAAGCUCAGUUCAAUUCAGUAAAUACUGGUUGUAUUUUCUGUUCACAUGACUUUUCUACCCUCACGGAUGUGGGGGUGUAGAGGGAGAAUAAGGAACAGACAAAACUGAAAGAUAUAUUCAGGCUCUCAGCAAAUACGUACAUUGAGAAGCUAUUCAUAGUUACCUUUGCAGAGAUAAAGUAUAGAAGACAAACAGUAAAUCAGCAAUGCUGUUAUCAUCCAAGUUGAAUCUGAUAUAUAAAGGCAUUUUAAAAUAAAGGAUCUUUUGUUUAAUAGAGUUCUAGCCAGAUCCCUAGUACUUUCCCUGGGCCAUCUGUUGGAGCAUGGAAACAUAUACUCUUUGAAUAUACAGUAACCAGGCAUAAUGAUGUUUAGAAAAAUAGAAUUACUUUUGUUACUUUGCUUUCUCAAGCUGGUAUUAAACUAUGUUAUGUGUAAUUCCUUCUUGGUUACUGUAAGUAACAUUGCCAAUAAGGAGCCAGAACAUCUACGCAAAUCCAUUGUAUUUUGAUUAGUGUUUGCUGUGGUUCUCAUUGUAGUGAAGCACGCAGCAAAAGUUUAUUUUCUGUGUUGUAUUCCCUAUAUACAUAGUAGGCAUGUCUAUGAAGUAUUUCCAUUAAUGAAGGAAAAGGGGAAUUUGUCCAUAUUGAGAUCCUUGUCUUGUUAGAUCAGAAAUUUAAAAUACCUUGAGGCUGACUGAGUAUGGGUUCAUUAGAGUGUUUGGUCCUAUCUUGAGUCUAUCUUACUUGGGCUGUUUGCUUCCUGCUUUGGGGUCUGAGGGGGUCAUGAAGCAAUCUAGAUGUUUUUAUAAUUUUAUUUGUGAACUUUACAGGUAUCCUGAGGGGUCUGGGGCUUAUCUUUUGCAUACUGCACUCUCAAGUACUGUAACGUGUAAUUAUUAAAGUGAAGACCUAUUAUAAAAUGAAUGUGGUUAUGCUAUAGAUCAAACCAUUUAGUCGAAAUAAAUUUGUUAUACCAAAAAGACACUUGCACUUGCAUGUUUGUUGCAGCACUGUUCACAAUAGCAAAGACAUGGAAUCAACUUCGGUGCCCAUCGACAGUGAAUUGGAUAGGGAACAUGUGGUACAGCUAUAUCCAUAAAAAAAGAA
Sapajus apella (tufted capuchin) is the source of this 2686-nucleotide long non-coding RNA. RefSeq lists it as uncharacterized. The record is from RefSeq and is a predicted model, not a curated record. The transcript is spliced from 2 exons. Lineage: Eukaryota; Metazoa; Chordata; Mammalia; Primates; Cebidae.